UGGGGAAUUUUGCGCAAUGGGGGAAACCCUGACGCAGCAACGCCGCGUGCGGGACGACGGCCCUCGGGUUGUAAACCGCUUUCAGUGGGGACGACGAUGACGGUACCCACAGAAGAAGCUCCGGCUAACUACGUGCC
Molecule: ribosomal RNA, 137 nt
Filed under: uncultured bacterium
Lineage: Bacteria
Description: partial 16S ribosomal RNA
Rfam family: Bacterial small subunit ribosomal RNA
Source: RNAcentral